GCCUGCUGGGCUGGGCUGGGCUGGGCUGAGCUGGGCAGAGAGGCCCCUCUGCUGACCCCCG
This 61-nucleotide microRNA precursor is filed under the name Echinops telfairi (small Madagascar hedgehog). RNAcentral describes it as "miRNA (ENSETEG00000024531.1)". The record is from RNAcentral. Lineage: Eukaryota; Metazoa; Chordata; Mammalia; Afrosoricida; Tenrecidae.